UAUAUUAAUUUACUAAAACACACAUAUAUCGACACUUGUUAUCGGGGUGUUCAGGCUAGUUUGAUUUAGACUGAAUCGAUACAAGGGAUAUAUGGAGGCCUAAC
Alteromonas australica is the source of this 104-nucleotide small RNA. It matches the Rfam family "t44 RNA". Rfam says of the family: This family consists of a number of bacterial RNA genes of between 135 and 170 bases in length. The t44 gene is found between the map and rpsB genes in all species in the full alignment apart from Shigella flexneri. The record is from Rfam. NCBI's taxonomy places the organism in Bacteria, Pseudomonadati, Pseudomonadota, Gammaproteobacteria, Alteromonadales, Alteromonadaceae.